CGCAUUGUGAACCAAAUGAUCCA
This 23-nucleotide non-coding RNA is filed under the name Arabidopsis thaliana (thale cress). The record is from RNAcentral. Lineage: Eukaryota; Viridiplantae; Streptophyta; Magnoliopsida; Brassicales; Brassicaceae.